RNAcentral lists this ribosomal RNA (605 nucleotides) under uncultured bacterium. Its description in RNAcentral is "bacterial SSU rRNA". It matches the Rfam family "Bacterial small subunit ribosomal RNA", at positions 118 to 719 of the family's 1533-position model. The record is from RNAcentral.
UAGGAAUCUGCCUGGUAGUGGGGGAUAACGUCCGGAAACGGACGCUAAUACCGCAUACGUCCUACGGGAGAAAGCAGGGGACCUUCGGGCCUUGCGCUAUCAGAUGAGCCUAGGUCGGAUUAGCUAGUUGGUGGGGUAAUGGCUCACCAAGGCGACGAUCCGUAACUGGUCUGAGAGGAUGAUCAGUCACACUGGAACUGAGACACGGUCCAGACUCCUACGGGAGGCAGCAGUGGGGAAUAUUGGACAAUGGGCGAAAGCCUGAUCCAGCCAUGCCGCGUGUGUGAAGAAGGUCUUCGGAUUGUAAAGCACUUUAAGUUGGGAGGAAGGGCAGUAAAUUAAUACUUUGCUGUUUUGACGUUACCGACAGAAUAAGCACUGGCUAACUCUGUGCCAGCAGCCGCGGUAAUACAGAGGGUGCAAGCGUUAAUCGGAAUUACUGGGCGUAAAGCGCGCGUAGGUGGUUCGUUAAGUUGGAUGUGAAAUCCCCGGGCUCAACCUGGGAACUGCAUUCAAAACUGACGAGCUAGAGUAUGGUAGAGGGUGGUGGAAUUUCCUGUGUAGCGGUGAAAUGCGUAGAUAUAGGAAGGAACACCAGUGGCGAA